Molecule: transfer RNA, 70 nt
Filed under: Dipodomys ordii (Ord's kangaroo rat)
Lineage: Eukaryota; Metazoa; Chordata; Mammalia; Rodentia; Heteromyidae
Rfam family: tRNA
About the family: Transfer RNA (tRNA) molecules are approximately 80 nucleotides in length. Their secondary structure includes four short double-helical elements and three loops (D, anti-codon, and T loops).
Source: Rfam by way of RNAcentral
GGGAGUGUGACUUAGUGGUAGAGUGCUUGCCUAGCACGCAUGAAGCCACGGGUUCGAUUCCUCAGUACCU